GCAAACUUGGUCAUUUAGAGGAAGUAAAAGUCGUAACAAGGUCUCCGUUGGUGAACCAGCGGAGGGAUCAUUACAGAGUUGUAAAACUCCCAAACCAUUGUGAACAUACUUAUGUUGCCUCGGCGGCCUGCCUGGCGAGCUGCUUCUGCAGCUGUCGCGCGGUCCGCCGGUGGAUAUAAAACUCUUGUUUUUAUGUAUCUCUGAGAAAACUUUUAAAUAAGUCAAAACUUUCAACAACGGAUCUCUUGGUUCUGGCAUCGAUGAAGAACGCAGC
RNAcentral lists this unclassified non-coding RNA (274 nucleotides) under uncultured fungus. Its description in RNAcentral is "partial contains small subunit ribosomal RNA, internal transcribed spacer 1, and 5.8S ribosomal RNA". The stretch from base 1 to 73 matches the Rfam family "Eukaryotic small subunit ribosomal RNA", at positions 1759 to 1831 of the family's 1831-position model. The record is from RNAcentral. Lineage: Eukaryota; Fungi.